GCACAUUUUUAUUAAUUAAUUUUUUUUUAUAUAUCAUUAUGAUAAAAUUUAAUAAAAUUUAAAUUUAUUUUAAAAAAUAUUUAUUUAAAUAAUUUAUAUUAAAUCAAGAUGUAAAAAAAUUAAUAAUUAAUGAAUUAUUAUUAAUAAAAUUAAAUUUAAUUAAUUUAAAAAAAUUAUUUUAUUAAAAUUUUAAAGUAAAUUUAUUUAAUUAAAUAAAUUAAAUUUAUUUUUUAUUAGGUACAAAUUGCCCGUCACUUUUAUAUAUAUAAAAUAAGUCGUAACAAAGUAAAUAUAUUGGAAAAUGUAUUUAAUU
Molecule: ribosomal RNA, 313 nt
Filed under: Planococcus ficus (vine mealybug)
Lineage: Eukaryota; Metazoa; Arthropoda; Insecta; Hemiptera; Pseudococcidae
Description: partial small subunit ribosomal RNA
Source: RNAcentral